ACAGCGCAGACUGUUAUUCAGUGAAGGACAUGUCAUCCGAUGUUUGCCCAGCUUCCACGUCAGCAAGAUGUUCCCCCUGAAUGAUGCUCCUCGAGUCUCAACUAACACAUUCAUCUGAAUGUGGAUGUUUUACAUGUGGAGCAACCACACUAAACGGUAUCAUUUGUAUGCAUUAUUAAAUAAAUAACGGACUAACAAUGAACGGCCGUUGUCUUUUACUCAUAGUACUUCUCGUACAGUCAGCAUGCUAUUACCAGUUGGGGGCAGGCACUCUACCGAGCCACGACCACAUGGUAGAACCUGAGACUACCACAACAGAGGCUGUUACUGAUCCCGUCACCACCACUACGGAACAUGAACCUUAUGAUAAUGAUCAAUGACCAGCUGUAUACAUUCUUCUGAAAGACACUGAUCUCAUUACCAUACACCCCAGUGAUGGAACACAUUGACAUUUUACCACCCCUUUCAAAGGACAUUUUCAGUUUUAAUAAGAAAUAUGUUCACAUUAACAAUGACAUGAUCAAUACAUCAGUGCAGGAAACGCACUUAUAAGUGGGAAGAACACGAAGACAAGAAACUUUUAUCAGGGACAACUGCGUCACAGAAUCACUUUGAAGCACUACAUUUACAAUAAAUAAACGGUUAUAGGGCAACCAUUGACGAAUGUUGUCAACUCAUCGCUUACAUAUCUAUCUUGAAACAAAAUGUGUAUUCUAGAACACAUUAAAAAGUAAAUAAAGAGAUGACUUAUAUGUUUACAUUUGUGUAAUAAAGUUGUGUACUACCAAAGAUCAAUAUUAUGAAUAUGAUGCAAAAUAAAUAAAGCUUCAG
Molecule: long non-coding RNA, 831 nt
Organism: Haliotis rufescens (red abalone)
Lineage: Eukaryota; Metazoa; Mollusca; Gastropoda; Lepetellida; Haliotidae
Exons: 3
Source: RefSeq, a predicted model, not a curated record